This 253-nucleotide ribosomal RNA is filed under the name uncultured bacterium. Its description in RNAcentral is "partial 16S ribosomal RNA". It matches the Rfam family "Bacterial small subunit ribosomal RNA", at positions 524 to 776 of the family's 1533-position model. The record is from RNAcentral.
UACGAAGGGGGCGAGCGUUGUUCGGAUUUACUGGGCGUAAAGGGCGCGCAGGCGGCCGGCCAAGUCAGGCGUGAAAGCCCCGGGCUUAACCUGGGAAUUGCGUCUGGGACUGGUUGGCUAGAGAUCGGGAGAGGAGAGUGGAAUUCCCAGUGUAGAGGUGAAAUUCGUAGAUAUUAGGAAGAACACCAGUGGCGAAGGCGGCUCACUGGCCCGGUACUGACGCUGAGGCGCGAAAGCGUGGGGAGCAAACAGG